GAUGAACGCUGGCGGCGUGCCUAAUACAUGCAAGUCGAGCGAACAGACGAGGAGCUUGCUCCUCUGACGUUAGCGGCGGACGGGUGAGUAACACGUGGAUAACCUACCUAUAAGACUGGGAUAACUUCGGGAAACCGGAGCUAAUACCGGAUAAUAUAUUGAACCGCAUGGUUCAAUAGUGAAAGACGGUUUUGCUGUCACUUAUAGAUGGAUCCGCGCCGCAUUAGCUAGUUGGUAAGGUAACGGCUUACCAAGGCAACGAUGCGUAGCCGACCUGAGAGGGUGAGCGGCCACACUGGAACUGAGACACGGUCCAGACUCCUACGGGAGGCAGCAGUAGGGAAUCUUCCGCAAUGGCGAAAGCCUGACGGAGCAACGCCGCGUGAGUGAUGAAGGUCUUCGGAUCGUAAAACUCUGUUAUUAGGGAAGAACAAAUGUGUAAGUAACUAUGCACGUCUUGACGGUACCUAAUCAGAAAGCCACGGCUAACUACGUG
This 496-nucleotide ribosomal RNA is filed under the name uncultured bacterium. Its description in RNAcentral is "partial 16S ribosomal RNA". It matches the Rfam family "Bacterial small subunit ribosomal RNA", at positions 28 to 507 of the family's 1533-position model. The record is from RNAcentral.